Molecule: long non-coding RNA, 873 nt
Organism: Magnolia sinica
Lineage: Eukaryota; Viridiplantae; Streptophyta; Magnoliopsida; Magnoliales; Magnoliaceae
Exons: 2
Source: RefSeq, a predicted model, not a curated record
CUCAAAUUGUAACAUACCCAUUCAUAUGAUACAACUUUUUGCGAAUGUCUGACUUCUUUAAAUUGCGAAUUGGCCACAAUUUUAUUUUAGCAUUCGCAAAGCUACAGAAUCGUUUUCAUCUUAACUUCUUCAGGUAUCAGGUCCACUCGACAACAAGGCUGGGGAGAAUCUUGUAGGAAAUGCUAUAUUUCGCUGGCAGAGGAAAUGGUGAAGGGUGGGAAGCUAAUCUUCUCAUUUGAUGCAACAAAGAAAGUUUGCUUUGGUGUACUCCCACGAUAUGCAAAAGAUGAGCUUCAAAUCAGAUGGUUUGAGCUCCCAAAUUGCUUUAUCUUCCAUAAUGGUGUUUUCUUUUUUUCCUUUAAUAGACCAACAACAAUGCCUUGGGAAACAUUUCAAGCUUACUAUGCCUGAUGUGCAUUUUGCAUCAUAAUCCUAUAUGUCAUAUCAAGCAGGGUUAAUUGGCCUGGGCACUGAAGGGUCCUAGAUGUGCGUUUGUGUUUCUAGUCCUUUGUAACAUGCUCCCAUUCUUCAAUCUUGAUCAUUAGUGGGGAGACUUUUCUUUUUCACUCAGUUACCAAUUAACUUCAAUUUCUAUAGUUAUUUAUAUUCUUAGGUGGGAAGCGCCUUGUUCAUGUGGGUCUAGGAGAUGAUGAUCAAUGCAUUGAGGAGGGAGCUUCACAUGCCAUCUCCGCAAAGCUAUAAUUUAAAGUGUUAGCCUUUACUAUAGCUUAUUUUGUAAAUUUGAUUUUGCAAUGAAACAUCUUCAAGCACAUUAUUUUCUCAUGUUUUUCUUUGGAUUAAUCUCCAUUUUGAUGGAGUGUAAUAAACUUCUGUUAAUUUAUUUCCCUUGAUCUUAAAUUUCGAGUGUUUAUC